RNAcentral lists this ribosomal RNA (458 nucleotides) under uncultured bacterium. Its description in RNAcentral is "partial 16S ribosomal RNA". It matches the Rfam family "Bacterial small subunit ribosomal RNA", at positions 338 to 795 of the family's 1533-position model. The record is from RNAcentral.
CCUACGGGUGGCAGCAGUGAGGAAUAUUGGUCAAUGGGCGAGAGCCUGAACCAGCCAAGUCGCGUGAGGGAGUACUGCCCUAUGGGUUGUAAACCUCUUUUGUCGGGGAGCAAAAGCCGGACGUGUCCGGCUGUGAGAGUACCCGAAGAAAAAGCAUCGGCUAACUCCGUGCCAGCAGCCGCGGUAAUACGGAGGAUGCGAGCGGUAUCCGGAUUUAUUGGGUUUAAAGGGUGCGCAGGCGGAUUUUUAAGUCAGCGGUAAAAUCGUGGGGCUCAACCCCGUCCAGCCGUUGAAACUGGGGAUCUAGAGUGUGCGAGAGGUAUGCGGAAUGCGUGGUGUAGCGGUGAAAUGCAUAGAUAUCACACAGAACCCCGAUUGCGAAGGCAGCAUACCGGUGCACAACUGACGCUCAGGCACGAAAGCGUGGGUAUCGAACAGGAUUAGAUACCCGGGUAGUC